AGCGGGGUGGGGAAAGAGUAUCCCGUAAGGCCCAUAACCUUAAGAUUGUCGGUGCAAGUCCGACCCCCGCAAC
Molecule: transfer RNA, 73 nt
Filed under: Parcubacteria group bacterium ADurb.Bin305
Lineage: Bacteria
Description: tRNA-Met
Source: RNAcentral